This 684-nucleotide ribosomal RNA is filed under the name Triticum aestivum (bread wheat). Its description in RNAcentral is "partial small subunit ribosomal RNA". Lineage: Eukaryota; Viridiplantae; Streptophyta; Magnoliopsida; Poales; Poaceae. The record is from RNAcentral.
AUGAAAAUGUUGAGUUGGAACUGUCGAGGCUUGGGUCAGCCUCGUACAGUUCAAGAGUUGGUGUGCCUCUCUAAGACGCACAGACACAAUGUUAUCUUUUUAUCUGAAACAAGAAAAAAUAAAGAGUAUGUUGAGAGUUUGCGCUACAGGUUGGGUAGAAUAAUGUGUUUACUGUUUCUGCAUGGUAAAGGUGGAGGACUAGCUGUGUUUUGGGAUGAGGCCUACUCUUGUGAGCUGAACAAAUAUGGGGAUCAUUUUAUUGAUAUGUAUGUCGGCAAGGGAGAUGGAACAAGAUGGAGGUGCACUUUCAUUUACGGUGAGCCUAAGGCGAGCCAAAGGUACGUUAUGUGGGAUCUCUUGAGACGGUUAAAACCUCUUGGUGUAGGAGCUUGGUUUAUGGUGGGAGAUUUUAACGAAGCUAUGUGGCAAAAUGAGCAUUUCUCUCGCCACAAGAGGUCUAUUAGGCUUAUGGCUAAUUUUAGGGAAGCUCUGUCCGAAUGUAAUCUAUAUGACUUGGGUUUUCAUGGUGUGCCUUGGACGUAUGAUAAUAAGCAAGAUGGGUUCAAGAAUGUUAAGGUACGACUUGAUCGUGCGGUGGCUUGCCCGCUUUGGUCUUCUAUGUUCCCUCGAUGUAAGGUAUCCCAUAUUAUAAGCUCCAGAUCUGAUCACUGUCCCGUUUUUUAG